RNAcentral lists this unclassified non-coding RNA (309 nucleotides) under plant metagenome. Its description in RNAcentral is "partial contains 5.8S ribosomal RNA, internal transcribed spacer 2, and large subunit ribosomal RNA". The stretch from base 1 to 105 matches the Rfam family "5.8S ribosomal RNA", at positions 50 to 154 of the family's 154-position model. The record is from RNAcentral.
GAAAUGCGAUAAGUAGUGUGAAUUGCAGAAUUCAGUGAAUCAUCGAAUCUUUGAACGCACAUUGCGCCCCUUGGUAUUCCAUGGGGCAUGCCUGUUCGAGCGUCAUUUGUACCCUCAAGCUCUGCUUGGUGUUGGGUGUUUGUCCCGUCUCCGCGCGUGGACUCGCCCCAAAGUGAUUGGCAGCCGGCGUACUGGUCCCGGAGCGCAGCACAUGUCGCGCAAACGAGUGCCUUGGUACGGCGGCGUCCAUAAGCCCCUCUCUCUCGCUCUUGACCUCGGAUCAGGUAGGGAUACCCGCUGAACUUAAGC